Molecule: ribosomal RNA, 386 nt
Filed under: uncultured bacterium
Lineage: Bacteria
Description: bacterial SSU rRNA
Rfam family: Bacterial small subunit ribosomal RNA
Source: RNAcentral
AUUGAACGCUGGCGGCAGGCCUAACACAUGCAAGUCGAGCGGAUGAGUGGAGCUUGCUCCAUGAUUCAGCGGCGGACGGGUGAGUAAUGCCUAGGAAUCUGCCUGGUAGUGGGGGACAACGUUUCGAAAGGAACGCUAAUACCGCAUACGUCCUACGGGAGAAAGCAGGGGACCUUCGGGCCUUGCGCUAUCAGAUGAGCCUAGGUCGGAUUAGCUAGUAGGUGAGGUAAUGGCUCACCUAGGCGACGAUCCGUAACUGGUCUGAGAGGACGACCAGCCACACUGGGACUGAGACACGGCCCAGACUCCUACGGGAGGCAGCAGUGGGGAGUUUUGGACAAUGGGCGCAAGCCUGAUCCAGCAAUGCCGCGUGCAGGAUGAAGGCC